CCCGAGAUGGCGUAAUGGCAGACGCAGCGGGCCCAGACCCCGUGGCCCCUUCAGGCCGUGGGAGUUCGACUCUCCCUCUCGGGACCA
RNAcentral lists this transfer RNA (87 nucleotides) under Chloroflexota bacterium. Its description in RNAcentral is "Chloroflexi bacterium tRNA-Leu". It matches the Rfam family "tRNA". Rfam says of the family: Transfer RNA (tRNA) molecules are approximately 80 nucleotides in length. The record is from RNAcentral. RNAcentral also lists the same sequence under 1 other name. Lineage: Bacteria; Bacillati; Chloroflexota.